Non-coding RNA from Struthio camelus australis, 1124 nucleotides. NCBI's taxonomy places the organism in Eukaryota, Metazoa, Chordata, Aves, Struthioniformes, Struthionidae. The record is from RefSeq and is a predicted model, not a curated record.
AGUUAUGCAGGUGAGUCGGGGCAGGUGAAGCCCCGCGGGCUGGGCGGUAGGAGGUGGAGGAGCGCUGAGGUGCCCCAGAGCCGGCCGGCACCACGGCGCGCGUCCCCGACCGAGCGCGGAGCCUCCAGGUGAACGGAGGGGACGGCGACCUCGCGGGCAGCAGCGUGUUUCCUUCGUUCACGAAACCCGCGACGGCUCGCUGCGCUCCUUCGCGUAACAACCCUGCGGGUCCGGAGCGGCGCGUUUGGGUACGCUCGCCCUGCAAAAAACCGCCUGGGCCCCGCCAAGGAGCGGGUAGGUAAAGCAGAGGGCAGUUGGCAGGAGGGGAGCAGAAGCGCGAGGUGAUAGAGGACGCGCUGGUCGUGGCUGCAGCGCGGGAGGGAGGAGAGACGGCGCUGCGGCACGUCCACGUACCCCGAACAAGCCGUAUUCAAAGCAUCUCCGUGGCUGCUAGUCAUUAAAGCGUCAUUAAAAGCUUACCCGUUGCAGCGUCUCAACUGGGUCUUGAAGCAGAAGCAGUCCCUGCGGGGCGAGAAGGUGCUGAGCGUCUCUCAUGGGUGAGGGAGAAGAGGUGUCCUCCACUCGUUUUCAGGGACGGAGACCAAUAAAAUCUGGCCGUACGUUUACGCUCUGCUCUGCAACAAGAUCCCGCCGGUUCACACCGAAGAGGAGGAUUAAACUUUUUGUGCAAGGGACCAAGAAUUAAUGCAACCGUGUAUUUGGUGUCUCGGCGCAGCGCUGGGGCUGUGCUCAAAUCGUGCACUAUCUAGAGUAACUUCCCUGGGUGUACGGGAUAACAGCUGUGGAAACACAGUUAUAGCCGGUAUCAGGAUGAAAAGACCUUAAAAGGUCAAGUACUCUGGAAUGAGUGUUUUUCGUUUCCAGGCUAUAAAGUAUUUCUGCAUGUGAUCCAAGUACACUGAUCAAUGAGGCAAACCUAGAUAAUGAUUAUAUCAGGUUUACAUAGCGUGUCGUGAUUUCCCCACCGCCGCCGCAUAAAACCCCGGUCUCCCUUUGAGUCCGUCAUGUGCCAUUCCAUUGCUCCACAGUAGAGUUUACCGCAGAUUGCGCUAUACGAUCUGUUUUUUUAAAUUAUUUUCUAUUAAAUUUUUCUAUUAAAUUUC